AGUCGAGGGGUACAGAGGAGCUUGCUUCUGCUGACGACCGGCGCACGGGUGCGUAACGCGUAUACAAUCUGCCUUUUACUAAGGAAUACCCCAGAGAAAUUUGGAUUAAUGCCUUAUAGUAUAUCGACUUCACAUGGAGAUGAUAUUAAAGAUUACGGUAAAAGAUGAGUAUGCGUCCUAUUAGCUAGAUGGUGUGGUAACGGCACACCAUGGCUACGAUAGGUAGGGGCCCUGAGAGGGGGAUCCCCCACACUGGUACUGAGACACGGACCAGACUCCUACGGGAGGCAGCAGUGAGGAAUAUUGGACAAUGGAGGGAACUCAGAUCCAGCCAUGCCGCGUGCAGGAAGACGGCCCUAUGGGUUGUAAACUGCUUUUAUACAGGAAGAAACAGUUCUACGUGUAGAACCUUGACGGUACUGUAAGAAUAAGGAUCGGCUAACUCCGUGCCAGCAGCCGCGGUAAUACGGAGGAUCCAAGCGUUAUCCGGAAUCAUUGGGUUUAAAGGGUCCGUAGGUGGAUAAUUAAGUCAGAGGUGAAAUCUUGCCGCUUAACGGUAAAAUUGCCUUUGAUACUGGUUGUCUUGAGUUAUUAUGAAGUGGUUAGAAUAUGUAGUGUAGCGGUGAAAUGCAUAGAUAUUACAUAGAAUACCAAUUGCGAAGGCAGAUCACUAAUAAUAUACUGACACUGAUGGACGAAAGCGUGGGGAGCGAACAGGAUUAGAUACCCUGGUAGUCCACGCCGUAAACGAUGGUCACUAGCUGUUCGAACUUCGGUUUGAGUGGCUAAGCGAAAGUGAUAAGUGACCCACCUGGGGAGUACGUUCGCAAGA
Molecule: ribosomal RNA, 832 nt
Filed under: uncultured marine bacterium
Lineage: Bacteria
Description: bacterial SSU rRNA
Rfam family: Bacterial small subunit ribosomal RNA
Source: RNAcentral